GUCCUUGCCGUAAACGAUGUAUACUUGAUGUAGUUGGGCUCAACCCCGACUGUGUCGAAGCUAACGCGAUAAGUAUACCGCCUGGGGAGUACGCCCGCAAGGGUGAAACUUAAAAGAAUUGACGGGGGCCCGCACAAGCAGUGGAGCAUGUGGUUUAAUUCGAUGCAACGCGAAGAACCUUACCCAGACUUGACAUAUAGUGGAUCGCAUCAGAAAUGAUGUUUCUCGUAAGAGUCGCUAUACAGGUGCUGCAUGGCU
RNAcentral lists this ribosomal RNA (258 nucleotides) under uncultured bacterium. RNAcentral's name for it is "partial 16S ribosomal RNA". It matches the Rfam family "Bacterial small subunit ribosomal RNA", at positions 793 to 1050 of the family's 1533-position model. The record is from RNAcentral.